Glycine soja is the source of this 454-nucleotide long non-coding RNA. RefSeq lists it as uncharacterized. NCBI's taxonomy places the organism in Eukaryota, Viridiplantae, Streptophyta, Magnoliopsida, Fabales, Fabaceae. The record is from RefSeq and is a predicted model, not a curated record. The transcript has 2 exons.
CAUGGCUAUUUAUGUACCAAGAUUUUGUGGCAGUUCGCGCCAUGCCUUAUCAUGUCAAAACAUUCUAUACAACUUCAUGAACAACAGGGAUGAAGUAUGUUCAUGCAUGACGGCUUAAGAGGAUAUCCAUCACGUUCCACCAUUCUUCCUCUACAAUUUUUUUCACAGCAGCUGCAUCGCGGAAUUUUAUGUAGAGUCAGCAAAGGUGUUCAUCUCAGUGUGAUAAGUGUUUCCUUUUAAGCAAGCCAUUGUAUGGGUAAUGAAGACAGAAACCUGUAGUCUUAUUACCCAUGCUUGAAAUAUAUCAUAAUCCACAAUUUUACCUCAAAAAAUGAAACAUGGAUAGAGAUAAAAAAAGGUGGAUUUCCAUUUAAUAUAAGGGAUAUCAGUGUUAUUUUUUUAUGAAAUGUACUUUUUUUAGUGAUCUUGUACCUGAAUAAUGUUUUCCCAAUUA